RNAcentral lists this ribosomal RNA (489 nucleotides) under uncultured Methanosaeta sp. RNAcentral describes it as "bacterial SSU rRNA". It matches the Rfam family "Archaeal small subunit ribosomal RNA", at positions 852 to 1338 of the family's 1478-position model. The record is from RNAcentral. Lineage: Archaea; Methanobacteriati; Methanobacteriota; Methanomicrobia; Methanotrichales; Methanotrichaceae.
AAACUCAAAGGAAUUGACGGGGAGGCACCACAACGGGUGGAGCUUGCGGUUUAACUUGGAUUCAAACGCCGGAAAUCUUACCGGGACCGACAGCAAUAUGAAGGCCAAGGCUGAAGACUUUGCCGGAUUAGCUGAGAGGUGGUGCAUGGCCGUCGUCAGUUCGUACUGUGAAGCAUCCUGUUAAGUCAGGCAACGAGCGAGACCCACGCCCACAGUUGCCAGCGUACUCUCUGGAGUGACGGGUACACUGUGGGACCGCCGCUGCUAAAGCGGAGGAAGGAAUGGGCAACGGUAGGUCAGUAUGCCCCGAAUAUCCCGGGCUACACGCGAGCUACAAUGGUUGGUACAAUGGGUAUCUACCCCGAAAGGGGACGGGAAUCUCCUAAAACCAAUCUUAGUUCGGAUUGAGGGCUGCAACUCGCCCUCAUGAAGCUGGAAUCCGUAGUAAUCGCGUUUCAACAGAACGCGGUGAAUACGUCCCUGCUCCUU